UUGGUAGUCUCUGAUAUAUGACACAGGUAUGUUAUUUAUGCUUUUAUCAAUUGCUAAAUCGUCAUUAUUUUUAGUCUUUUGGGGGUUUCGAAAUAAAUGGCUCUGAAUAAAAUGCUAAACCAGUAGUAACGAUGCUUUAAUUCCAGCUGUAGACAGUUAGCUCUAAGCUAGAAGUGUAUGAAGUGAGCUACUAUCACUAGCUUGUAUAAAGUGCUACAUUUUGGGUCCAAAUAGUGCUGAAGCUCGGAAGCUUGACUCCAUUCGGGCCCAGUAGGUGUUGUGGUUACUCCGGCCCACCGCGCUGAUUAACUGCAGCUAGCAUACAAUGUGUCUGUGUUGCCCUCCUGCCUGAUAGAAAAAAAAAAAUAACAAGCAGGGAAAAAAAAAAAAAAAAAACCUAAAGGGUAAAAAAAGCGAGAAAAAAAACUCGGCCAUCCUCACAGACUUCCGGCUGUGGCGGAGAGGCGGCAGCACACAUUCAGGGAAAAUUACUAACGACGGCAGAGAGAACAGCGACGUUUACCGGUUCAGACGACUCCGACCUCCUGUCCGAAACUCCAAGCAACCCGAACAAUCUGGUCCCGAGCUAGCUGCUUCGUCUGAGCUUCACUUCCUCUCGAAAAGGUCGUCAGACAAAAGGAGUGUGUCUGUGUUGAUGUCAUGUCCGGUAUCUGAUGGAUACUUGAUUUAAAAAUGCAACAUGUUCUUCUUCAGCCGUCUCAGCGGGAGUUUUAGGGCGACAAAGGUCCGUUUUGAAGCAAAUCAGCUAUUGAUUACUUUUAUUUUGUUGCAUUCAAAGAUCAGAUUCUGAUCUUAAACUGAACGUGAUGCCUUCACGUUACCUUGGACGAAUCAGAGGUCACUAAAAUCGAUUAAUCCUCCCUACUGUGGUGAUUUGGAUGAAGUGAAUACACUACAAACAGAGCAGGGGCAAAAAAGGUAGUUAUAAAAGAUUACUCUAUAUUAGAAUAAAUUCAAAAAAUGUCAUUUUAAAAAUAAAUUAAAAUGAUUAAUGCUG
Molecule: long non-coding RNA, 1018 nt
Organism: Poecilia latipinna (sailfin molly)
Lineage: Eukaryota; Metazoa; Chordata; Actinopteri; Cyprinodontiformes; Poeciliidae
Exons: 2
Source: RefSeq, a predicted model, not a curated record